This 223-nucleotide ribosomal RNA is filed under the name uncultured bacterium. RNAcentral describes it as "partial 16S ribosomal RNA". It matches the Rfam family "Bacterial small subunit ribosomal RNA", at positions 328 to 539 of the family's 1533-position model. The record is from RNAcentral.
ACGCUCGACACCUACGGGAGGCGGCAGUAGGGAAUCUUCCACAAUGGACGCAAGUCUGAUGGAGCAACGCCGCGUGAGUGAAGAAGGUCUUCGGAUCGUAAAACUCUGUUGUUAGAGAAGAACACGAGUGAGAGUAACUGUUCAUUCGAUGACGGUAUCUAACCAGCAAGUCACGGCUAACUACGUGCAAGCAGCCGCGGUAAUCUGAGCGGGCUGGCAAGGC